GCUGGGCCUGUGGCAUGUUCCCAUAGUCCCAGUUGUUACUGUAGAGGUUGAGGCAGAAGGAUCCCUUGAGGGCAAAAGUUAUGGGCUGUAGGACACUGUGCCAACUGGAUGUCACACUAAAUUGGUCUUCAAUGUGGUGAACUCCUGGCAGCAGGGAAGCCACCACAUUGCCUAAGGAGGGGAGAGCUGGCCCCAGCUGGAAGCAGAGCAAGUCAAAACUCCCAUGCUGACCAGUAGUGGGAUUGCAUCUGUGAGCGGCCAUUGCAUUGCAGCCUGGGCAACAUAAGGAGACUCUGCCUCUA
This 302-nucleotide signal recognition particle RNA is filed under the name Otolemur garnettii (small-eared galago). RNAcentral's name for it is "Metazoan signal recognition particle RNA". It matches the Rfam family "Metazoan signal recognition particle RNA". From Rfam's summary of the family: The signal recognition particle (SRP) is a universally conserved ribonucleoprotein. It is involved in the co-translational targeting of proteins to membranes. Lineage: Eukaryota; Metazoa; Chordata; Mammalia; Primates; Galagidae. The record is from Rfam by way of RNAcentral.